This 253-nucleotide ribosomal RNA is filed under the name uncultured bacterium. RNAcentral describes it as "partial 16S ribosomal RNA". It matches the Rfam family "Bacterial small subunit ribosomal RNA", at positions 524 to 776 of the family's 1533-position model. The record is from RNAcentral.
CACGUAGGGCGCGAGCGUUGUCCGGAAUUAUUGGGCGUAAAGAGCUUGUAGGCGGUCUGUCGCGUCUGCUGUGAAAAUCCGGGGCUCAACCCCGGACUUGCAGUGGGUACGGGCAGACUAGAGUGUGGUAGGGGAGACUGGAAUUCCUGGUGUAGCGGUGAAAUGCGCAGAUAUCAGGAGGAACACCGGUGGCGAAGGCGGUUCUCUGAGCCUGUACUGACGCUGAGGAACGAAAGCGUGGGGAGCGAACAGG